AGUGAACGCUGGCGGUAGGCCUAACACAUGCAAGUCGAACGGCAGCACAGUAAGAGCUUGCUCUUACGGGUGGCGAGUGGCGGACGGGUGAGGAAUACAUCGGAAUCUACUUUUUCGUGGGGGAUAACGUAGGGAAACUUACGCUAAUACCGCAUACGACCUACGGGUGAAAGCAGGGGAUCUUCUGACCUUGCGCGAUUGAAUGAGCCGAUGUCGGAUUAGCUAGUUGGAGGGGUAAAGGCCCACCAGGGCGAGGAUCCGUAGCUGGUCUGAGAGGAUGUUCAGCCACACUGGAGCGUGGACACGGUCCAGAGUCCUACGGGAGGGAGCAGUGGGGAAUAUUGGACAAUGGGCGCAAGCCUGAUCCAGCCAUACCGCGUGGGUGAAGAAGGCCUUCGGGUUGUAAAGCCCUUUUGUUGGGAAAGAAAAGCAGCAGGUUAAUACCCCGCUGUUCUGACGGUACCCAAAGAAUAAGCACCGGCUAACUUCGUG
This 492-nucleotide ribosomal RNA is filed under the name uncultured bacterium. RNAcentral's name for it is "partial 16S ribosomal RNA". It matches the Rfam family "Bacterial small subunit ribosomal RNA", at positions 29 to 507 of the family's 1533-position model. The record is from RNAcentral.